GAAAAAGGCCACUGCACAUGCUCAAAUGGCCUCUGCAAGACCCAAGUCUAGAUUUUUCCCUGAUCUAGGGAGUCAGAAGAAUGCAAAGUUGUUGGCAAGGGACCCGAGCAUUUAAAAAACAGAUAUAAAUAGCACAAAAAAUUGAUCCCAUCCUUGCAUGGACAGGGGAGGAGGAAGUGCACACUCCUGAGGCUCAGUGAUGCUGUGUCAAGCCAAGAUAAGUUCUUGUUAUAUCUGAAUCAGCCCCAAAAGAAAGAAUAUUGGGGACUUGCUAUUAUACAUAUGGGUCCAUGAUUGGUCUCUAAACCAUAUGCAUUAUUUUCCUGCUCCUUGAUUAGUUUGCUGUAGCUCUGUAUUGCAAACUGUCCGUGUCAGGUAUUUUAUAAACGUUUCUGAGCAGACA
Long non-coding RNA from Hemicordylus capensis (graceful crag lizard), 403 nucleotides. RefSeq lists it as uncharacterized. The record is from RefSeq and is a predicted model, not a curated record. NCBI's taxonomy places the organism in Eukaryota, Metazoa, Chordata, Lepidosauria, Squamata, Cordylidae. The transcript is spliced from 2 exons.